This 513-nucleotide ribosomal RNA is filed under the name uncultured bacterium. Its description in RNAcentral is "partial 16S ribosomal RNA". It matches the Rfam family "Bacterial small subunit ribosomal RNA", at positions 28 to 523 of the family's 1533-position model. The record is from RNAcentral.
GAUGAACGCUGGCGGCAUGCCUAAUACAUGCAAGUCGAGCGAACAGAUGAAGUGCUUGCACUUCUGACGUUAGCGGCGAACGGGUGAGUAACACGUAAGGAAUCUACCUAUAAGCGGGGGAUAACAUUCGGAAACGGGUGCUAAUACCGCAUAAUAUCUUCUUCCGCAUGGAAGAAGAUUGAAAGACGGCUCUGCUGUCACUUAUAGAUGACCUUGCGGUGCAUUAGUUAGUUGGUGGGGUAAUGGCCUACCAAGACGAUGAUGCAUAGCCGACCGGAGGGGGUGAUCGGCCACAUUGGGACUGAGACACGGCCCAAACUCCUACGGGAGGCAGCAGUAGGGAAUCUUCCGCAAUGGGCGAAAGCCUGACGGAGCAAUGCCGCGUGAGUGAAGAAGGGUUUCGGCUCGUAAAACUCUGUUGUUAAGGAAGAACACUUGAGGUAGUAACUGGCCUUGAGAUGACGGUACUUAACCAGAAAGCCACGGCUAACUACGUGCCAGCAGCCGCCGUAA